RNAcentral lists this ribosomal RNA (1495 nucleotides) under uncultured prokaryote. Its description in RNAcentral is "partial 16S ribosomal RNA". It matches the Rfam family "Bacterial small subunit ribosomal RNA". The record is from RNAcentral.
AGAGUUUGAUCCUGGCUCAGGAUGAACGCUAGCGGCAGGCCUAACACAUGCAAGUCGAGGGGCAGCAGACCACUUCGGUGGUGCUGGCGACCGGCGCACGGGUGAGUAUCGCGUUUGUAACCUACCCUUAACUGGGGAAUAGCCCGAAGAAAUUCGGAUUAAUACCCCAUUAAAUUUAAGAACGGCAUCGUUUUUUUAUUAAAGCUCUGGCGGUUAAGGAUGGGCAUGCGUGACAUUAGUUUGUUGGUGAGGUAACGGCUCACCAAGACUACGAUGUCUAGGGGGUCUGAGAGGAUGAUCCCCCACACUGGUACUGAGACACGGACCAGACUCCUACGGGAGGCAGCAGUGAGGAAUAUUGGGCAAUGGACGCAAGUCUGACCCAGCCAUGCCGCGUGCAGGAUGACGGCGCUAUGCGUUGUAAACUGCUUUUAUACAGGAAGAAAUCCUCCUACGUGUAGGGGGUUGACGGUACUGUAAGAAUAAGCAUCGGCUAACUCCGUGCCAGCAGCCGCGGUAAUACGGAGGAUGCAAGCGUUAUCCGGAUUCAUUGGGUUUAAAGGGUGCGCAGGCGGGGCAAUAAGUCAGUGGUGAAAUCCUGCGGCUUAACCGUAGAACUGCCAUUGAUACUGUUGCCCUUGAGUAUAGUUGAGGUGGGCGGAAUGUGUAAUGUAGCGGUGAAAUGCAUAGAUAUUACAUAGAACACCAAUUGCGAAGGCAGCUCACUAAGCUAUCACUGACGCUGAGGCACGAAAGCGUGGGGAGCGAACAGGAUUAGAUACCCUGGUAGUCCACGCCGUAAACGAUGAUUACUCGUUGUUGGCGACAUCGUCAGCGACUAAGCGAAAGCAUUAAGUGAUCCACCUGGGGAGUACGAUCGCAAGAUUGAAACUCAAAGGAAUUGACGGGGGCCCGCACAAGCGGAGGAACAUGUGGUUUAAUUCGAUGAUACGCGAGGAACCUUACCUGGGCUUAAAUGCAGAACGAUGUACCGGGAAACUGGUAUUCCCUUUCGGGACUCUUUACAAGGUGCUGCAUGGUUGUCGUCAGCUCGUGCCGUGAGGUGUCGGGUUAAGUCCCAUAACGAGCGCAACCCCUAUCGUUAGUUGCCAGCGAGUCAAGUCGGGGACUCUAACGAGACUGCCGGUGUAAACCGCGAGGAAGGUGGGGAUGACGUCAAGUCCUCAUGGCCCUUAUGUCCUGGGCUACACACGUGCUACAAUGGUUGGUACAAAGCGCUGCGAAGCCGCGAGGUGGAGCGAAUCGCAAAAAGCCAGCCUCAGUACGGAUUGCACUCUGCAACUCGAGUGCAUGAAGUCGGAAUUGCUAGUAAUCGUCGAUCAGCAGGCGACGGUGAAUACGUUCCCGGGCCUUGUACACACCGCCCGUCACACCAUGGGAGUCGAGUGCUCCAGAAGUGGCCACGCUAACCCGCAAGGGAGGCAGGUCCCCAAGGAGUGGUCGGUAACUGGGGUGAAGUCGUAACAAGGUAACC